UGGGGAAUAUUGCACAAUGGGGGAAACCCUGAUGCAGCGACGCCGCGUGAGCGAUGAAGGCUUUCGAGUCGUAAAGCUCUGUCCUAUGGGAAGAUAAUGACGGUACCAUAGAAGAAAGCCCCGGCUAAUUACGUGCCAGCAGCCGCGGUAAUACGUAAGGGGCGAGCGUUGUCCGGAAUUAUUGGGCGUAAAGAGUGCGUAGGCGGCAAAUUAAGUCAGAUGUGAAAACUAAGGGCUCAACCCAUAGAUUGCAUCUGAAACUGAUAUGCUUGAGUCAAGGAGAGGAAAGUGGAAUUCCUAGUGUAGCGGUGGAAUGCGUAGAUAUUAGGAGGAAUACCGGUGGCGAAGGCGACUUUCUGGACUGCAACUGACACUGAGGCACGAAAGCGUGGGUAGCAAACAGG
This 404-nucleotide ribosomal RNA is filed under the name Verrucomicrobiota bacterium. RNAcentral describes it as "Verrucomicrobia bacterium partial 16S ribosomal RNA". It matches the Rfam family "Bacterial small subunit ribosomal RNA", at positions 355 to 776 of the family's 1533-position model. The record is from RNAcentral. Lineage: Bacteria; Pseudomonadati; Verrucomicrobiota.